Molecule: non-coding RNA, 1852 nt
Organism: Meleagris gallopavo (turkey)
Lineage: Eukaryota; Metazoa; Chordata; Aves; Galliformes; Phasianidae
Source: RefSeq, a predicted model, not a curated record
GUUCUUAGUGAGUCCUCAAGGGAUUUGUCAGAUUUUUCACAAAAUUUUAUGCUUCCUGUACUCUAUUCUUGGAAAUGGUUGUUCAUGUUGCUCACAAAUGUACAUGCUGCCAGAAAGUGGCACGUGAAUGAGGCAUGACUGUGAAGGGAGGUCAUGUAAGAGCCUGGCAAAGAGAUGUGAUCACAUUCUGGAUUGCAGUUCUAUACAUUCCAUUUGAAAGCUCACAAAUAACAUAUUUACGUCAACUGAAAAUGGAGUACCAAAAAAACAAGAGUUGAUUUUUUUUUCUUCUUGAAACUUGUUCUCAAAUACCUUUAUCAAAACGGAAGGCACGGCUGCGUAUUUCCCCUGAUCACAAGGCUGCGUUUAGCCAAUGUAUCCAAAGGCAUGACCUCAUUUGCCCCCACUUGAGUUAGCUCUGCUCUGUGCCCUCCCUGUGUCCUGGUUCCAGCCCAGAAGGGGUUCAUAGUGCCUCACUGUUCUGUUGUUGCUGAGGGGCUGGGCUGGGCUGCAGGUGGGGCAGAGCCACCUCCAUGGUGGCACGGGGCAGGGCACGGGCUGCACAUGGGCUGUAUGUUGGAAGAGCCUGAUUAUAAUUAUAUCCAGUACGUUUGUUUUUUUUUUCUCCAGUUUAUGGCAGUGUUUUAAAUCAAACUGGGAAUAGCGCCAGUUAGACUGAGGAGGAAGAAAAAGUUGAUAAAUUUUUUUCUAAAAAUAGUUUUAUCAGAGCAGAAAGUAAAUGUGGAAAUACUCAGAAGAAUAGAUAAGUGAUAACACUCAUAAGACAUGCAAGGGAGUGCAAAGUCUUUCUUCCCAUGUGGACAUUAUCUAAAUUAUGAAGCUUGGGACAAAUGGUGCAACAGAUCCCUGAAGUGUCAUUUCUGAGUUGUAUGAUCUUUGCUGUGACGCUGUGUUAUAGAAGCCUUCUGGAAAAUGAAAUUAAUAAAUUAAGCCCUUUUUGUUUGUAUUUCCACAUUUUGGAUAACACACUGUUUAAUUUCAGGGAGACCGGUAAAUACCUGUUCCUCUUUCCUACGUACUGUAAUCUCUAGCAGUAGAGUGUUUUUCAGCAGUUUUCUGGGAGUUCUUGAUGAAGGGCCAGAAUUUCAUAGAUACUGGCUGAGAGGUUGCAUCUACUAGCAGGGGUGGGAUAUCAGAAGUUCCAGGGUUGGGAGUGGACAAAAACUCCAAACAGGACAGUCAUCUGGGCAGAGCAUGGAGAGUGGGAGGUGAGUGUGGGAGGAAAUGAGAGAGACAUAGGUGGAGAUGUGAUGACACGAGACCUUGUGUCUUGAAAAUGGGAGCCAAGAAUGCAUUCUAGAGUGUCUCCAAUUUGACUGAUGUAGAAGGACGUUCUGCUUCAGAGCAACUUGGUUCAAGUAUGGAGUGUGGAGAGUCACUAUUUUCUGGUUUAUUCUCACAUAUGAAAAUGACCAUAAAUACAAAGUUAUUUUCUUUAACAUGCUCCCAUUGGGUAGGAGGUCCAAAACAUUUCCAUUCUUAUCAAGCUUGAAUUUUGUCAGCAGUUUGGCCUUUUAUCUAAUGGAAUGUGUCAGCCAGUGCUUGCUAAGGUGUACCAUUUGCUGUAUAGGAGUGGUAGGUGUAUUAAAGGAGUAUAAAGUUGCCCUACACCUAAAAAUAAAAGAUUCUGGCAGAAAGCAAAUGGAAAUUUGCGUCAUGUGUUUUAAUUUGAAAGAAAUUGUCUGCAAAUCAGAUCUGGACAUAAGAAAGCAUUUGUCUUAAAACUAACUGUGCUUCUGUUUGAAGGAGUAUAUCUGUAAACUGUGUCUGGACAUAACAAAAGAUUUAUUUUCAAAGUGUCAUAGACAAAACCUGAGAAUAACAGUGCAAU